UAUAAAAUGCCGCGCCCGUCACGCUGUUGCGCACAACCACGUGCCUCUCCCUCGACGCUUUCUUGGCUCUUUCUCUGCCUCUCCCUCGCCGCUCCCUCUGCCACCAUGCCGCCGCGCCGCUGUUCAUCCUCGGGCUACCAAGGCGUCCGCGAGCGCCCUUCCGGCAUCUACUACGUCGAGAUCCGGUUCGGCGACUGAUACGUCUCCGUCGUAUCUACUUUUUCGAACUCUUUUGCCCUUGUUUUGGACUCUAAUUUGCAUGAUUUGAAUGGAACUAACCCG
Molecule: long non-coding RNA, 282 nt
Filed under: Hordeum vulgare
Lineage: Eukaryota; Viridiplantae; Streptophyta; Magnoliopsida; Poales; Poaceae
Description: long non-coding RNA (HVUL_LNC014058)
Source: RNAcentral